UCCCCAGUAGCUCAGUCGGCAGAGCAAGUGGCUGUUAACCACUAGGUCCGCGGUUCAAAUCCGUGCUGGGGAGCCA
RNAcentral lists this transfer RNA (76 nucleotides) under Desulfamplus sp. RNAcentral describes it as "tRNA-Asn". It matches the Rfam family "tRNA". Rfam says of the family: Transfer RNA (tRNA) molecules are approximately 80 nucleotides in length. Their secondary structure includes four short double-helical elements and three loops (D, anti-codon, and T loops). Further hydrogen bonds mediate the characteristic L-shaped molecular structure. tRNAs have two regions of fundamental functional importance: the anti-codon, which is responsible for specific mRNA codon recognition, and the 3' end, to which the tRNAs corresponding amino acid is attached (by aminoacyl-tRNA synthetases). tRNAs cope with the degeneracy of the genetic code in two manners: having more than one tRNA (with a specific anti-codon) for a particular amino acid; and 'wobble' base-pairing, i.e. permitting non-standard base-pairing at the 3rd anti-codon position. The record is from RNAcentral. Lineage: Bacteria; Pseudomonadati; Thermodesulfobacteriota; Desulfobacteria; Desulfobacterales; Desulfobacteraceae.